CCCAAAGCGUUUUUUUUUUUUUUUUUUUACCCCUGGUUUCUCGAGAUCACGAGAAAAUUAUCUUGUGAUCUCCAGAAAACGGGGGUAAAAAAAACAAACAUGUCUGCUUAGGG
This is a non-coding RNA of Xyrichtys novacula (pearly razorfish), 113 nucleotides long. The record is from the annotation of a GenBank genome assembly. NCBI's taxonomy places the organism in Eukaryota, Metazoa, Chordata, Actinopteri, Labriformes, Labridae.